RNAcentral lists this ribosomal RNA (253 nucleotides) under uncultured bacterium. RNAcentral's name for it is "partial 16S ribosomal RNA". It matches the Rfam family "Bacterial small subunit ribosomal RNA", at positions 524 to 776 of the family's 1533-position model. The record is from RNAcentral.
GACGUAGGGCGCGAGCGUUGUCCGGAAUUAUUGGGCGUAAAGAGCUCGUAGGCGGCUUGUCACGUCGGAUGUGAAAGCCCGGGGCUUAACCCCGGGUCUGCAUUCGAUACGGGCUAGCUAGAGUGUGGUAGGGGAGAUCGGAAUUCCUGGUGUAGCGGUGAAAUGCGCAGAUAUCAGGAGGAACACCGGUGGCGAAGGCGGAUCUCUGGGCCAUUACUGACGCUGAGGAGCGAAAGCGUGGGGAGCGAACAGG